This 468-nucleotide ribosomal RNA is filed under the name uncultured bacterium. RNAcentral's name for it is "partial 16S ribosomal RNA". It matches the Rfam family "Bacterial small subunit ribosomal RNA", at positions 28 to 507 of the family's 1533-position model. The record is from RNAcentral.
GACGAACGCUGGCGGCGUGCUUAACACAUGCAAGUCGAACGGAAAGGCCCUGCUUUUGUGGGGUGCUCGAUUGGCGAACGGGUGAGUAACACGUGAGUAACCUGCCCUUGACUUUGGGAUAACUUCAGGAAACUGGGGCUCAUACCGGAUAGGAGCUCCUGCUGCAUGGUGUGGGUUGGAAAGUUUCGGCGGUUGGGGCUGGACUCGCGGCUUAUCCGCUUGUUGGUGGGGUAGUGGCUUACCAAGGCUUUGACGGGUAGCCGGCCUGAGAGGGUGACCGGCGACAUGGGGACUGAGAUACGGACCAGACUCCUACGGGAGGCAGCAGUGGGGAAUAUUGCACAAUGGGCGGAAGCCUGAUGCAGCAACGCCGCGUGCGGGAUGACGGCCUUCGGGUUGUAAACCGCUUUCGCCUGUGACGAAGCGUGAGUGACGGUAAUGGGUAAAGAAGCACCGGCUAACUACGUG